Molecule: long non-coding RNA, 473 nt
Organism: Eurytemora carolleeae
Lineage: Eukaryota; Metazoa; Arthropoda; Copepoda; Calanoida; Temoridae
Exons: 3
Source: RefSeq, a predicted model, not a curated record
AUUGAGAGGAAAAAGUGAUUGUCAAAAAAAACAUAAAAUUGAUCUCGGAAACAUAAGAAGAAGAAGAAGAAGAAGAAGAAGAAUAAAAGCGAAAACACCCAAAUUUAAAAAGUUAAAAUCCGCGAAAUCCAUUAAACCUUGUUAGAUGAGGGUGUUGAGUUUCUAGUGGAUUUUGGCAAAUAUCUCUCGGAACAAUUGACACGUUUUCACAAAAACCGAAGCGACGAAGAAACUUGAGAAACGAGGCACAAACGGACACUCAAAUUCUACGGUCACAAACUCUGCCUCGUUGAACAAGAGCUGCGCUACAGCUAGAAGACGUGUUUGACCAUCCGUGUACUGUCUGCUUGGAAAAAGUGAAAAAAGUGACGUGUUGAAACGACACAUGAAAACCCAAACUGGAUUCGCUUGUCGCCUCGACUCUUACAUAUAGGAAAAAGAGGAAUUAGAUUUAGAAAGAAAAUUUUUUGAGG